Molecule: ribosomal RNA, 250 nt
Filed under: uncultured bacterium
Lineage: Bacteria
Description: partial 16S ribosomal RNA
Rfam family: Bacterial small subunit ribosomal RNA
Source: RNAcentral
ACGAACCGUGCGAACGUUAUUCGGAAUCACUGGGCUUAAAGCGCGUGUAGGCGGAUCGGCACGUCGGCCGUUGAAAUCCCCCGGCUCAACCGGGGAACAGGCGCCGAUACGACCGGUCUGGAGGGAGGUAGGGGGAGCCGGAACUUCCGGUGGAGCGGUGAAAUGCGUUGAGAUCGGAAGGAACGCCCGUGGCGAAAGCGGGCUCCUGGACCUCACCUGACGCUGAGACGCGAAAGCUAGGGGAGCAAAC